RNAcentral lists this ribosomal RNA (253 nucleotides) under uncultured bacterium. RNAcentral's name for it is "partial 16S ribosomal RNA". It matches the Rfam family "Bacterial small subunit ribosomal RNA", at positions 524 to 776 of the family's 1533-position model. The record is from RNAcentral.
UACGGAGGGGACUAGCGUUGUUCGGAAUUACUGGGCGUAAAGGGCGCGUAGGCGGCCAUUCAAGUGACGGGUGAAAGCCCUCGGCUUAACCGAGGAACUGCCUGUCAGACUGGAUGGCUUGAGACCGGGAGAGGUGAGUGGAAUUCCCAGUGUAGCGGUGAAAUGCGUAGAUAUUGGGAGGAACACCAGUGGCGAAGGCGGCUCACUGGACCGGAACUGACGCUGAGGUGCGAAAGCGUGGGGAGCAAACAGG